AUCGAAUCAGUAAAGUGGACGCACAAGUAAUUACUAGCUAGAAGCAACCACUUUCACCUCCACAAGCAAAAUAGAAGUUGCAUUUGUUGUUCCUUCUUGCCCUGCCAAUAUUCUUUAUUGCUUAGCAUAUCUACAUCCCACAAAUUCCACUCUUUCUUCAAAAGGUAUCUAGCUUGUAAAAGACCUCACGACUUUACCACUCUCCAACCCUCAAAGUAUUUAUGCUCAAAUUCAAACUCCCAUCACACACUAUCGUUACUGACCCAACAGUUCAGAAAAAGCUCUCGUCCCCAUAGGCUAUAGCUUUGUAAUGGACUGCCCAGAUCUUCAGGAAGAAACAUCUGUCAUUAGAACUAGUGAUUGACAAUUUUGGCAUUCAUUAAUAAACAGACACGCACAUGCAUUCACAACUUUGGUUUCUUUGAUAUUAUAUAUAAUCACAGUUCUUAAUAUACAUAAAAACACUAACCUUGAUCAACUAAACUAGCUGUGAUUUCUCGAACCAACCUUGCAGAAGAGCGAUGGCGAUGAACCUAGCGCUACGUCUCCAAAUGAGUUACCAUCAUUGGCCAAGAAUACAAGCAGGAACUCCAACUCGCCACCAAGACCACCGAC
RNAcentral lists this long non-coding RNA (615 nucleotides) under Populus tremula. RNAcentral describes it as "long non-coding RNA (PTRE_LNC002500)". The record is from RNAcentral. Lineage: Eukaryota; Viridiplantae; Streptophyta; Magnoliopsida; Malpighiales; Salicaceae.